Molecule: ribosomal RNA, 459 nt
Filed under: uncultured bacterium
Lineage: Bacteria
Description: partial 16S ribosomal RNA
Rfam family: Bacterial small subunit ribosomal RNA
Source: RNAcentral
CCUACGGGGGGCUGCAAUGAGGAAUAUUGGUCAAUGGCCGAGAGGCUGAACCAGCCAAGUCGCGUGAGGGAAGAAUGUCCUAUGGAUUGUAAACCUCUUUUGUCAGGGAGCAAAGUCACCCACGUGUGGGUGUUGGAGAGUACCUGAAGAAAAAGCAUCGGCUAACUCCGUGCCAGCAGCCGCGGUAAUACGGAGGAUGCGAGCGUUAUCCGGAUUUAUUGGGUUUAAAGGGUGAGUAGGCGGGUUAUCAAGUCAGCGGUAAAAUCGUGGAGCUCAACUCCAUCCAGCCGUUGAAACUGAUGAUCGUGAGUGGGCGAGAAGUAUGCGGAAUGCGUGGUGGAGCGGUGAAAUGCAUAGAUAUCACGCAGAACUCCGAUUGCGAAGGCAACAUACCGGCGCCCGACUGACGCUGAAGCACGAAAGCGUGGGUAUCGAACAGGAUUAGAUACCCUGGUAGUC